CAAAAUCACUGCCACACAAAGGCAGCAGAGCAGCAUCUUGCUGUUAUCUCACCUGUCCUUCUGUACAUCCAAGUUCAAAUGUCUGCUCCUCUCACAGUUCUUCCACAAUGGGGACAACUAAUCCUGCUGAUUUUCCUUAGAUAUUGGAUUUUGAGUGCCCAGGCAGCCUGCUAUGUGAAGUAG
RNAcentral lists this long non-coding RNA (183 nucleotides) under Fukomys damarensis (Damara mole-rat). RNAcentral's name for it is "lncRNA (ENSFDAG00000027569.1)". Lineage: Eukaryota; Metazoa; Chordata; Mammalia; Rodentia; Bathyergidae. The record is from RNAcentral.